GAGUUUGAUCCUGGCUCAGAGCGAACGCUGGCGGCAGGCCUAAUACAUGCAAGUCGAAGGUGAAGCCGGACUUCGGUCUGGUGGAAACUGGCGCACGGGUGAGUAACGCGUGGGAACCUGCCUCAAGGUACGGAAUAACCGCUGGAAAGGGGCGGCGAAUACCGUAUGUGCCCUUCGGGGGAAAGAUUUAUCGCCUUGAGAUGGUCCCGCGUCCGAUUAGCUUGUUGGUGGGGUAACGGCCUACCAAGGCUGCGAUCGGUAGCUGGUCUGAGAGGACGAUCAGCCACACUGGGACUGAGACACGGCCCAGACUCCUACGGGAGGCAGCAGUAGGGAAUAUUGGACAAUGGGCGCAAGCCUGAUCCAGGGGAGGCGGGCGUGAGUGAAGAAGGCCUUAGGGUUGUAAUACUCUUUCGGCGGGGACGAUGAUGACGGUACCCGCAGAAGAAGCCCCGGCUAACUCCGUGCCAGCAGCCGCGGUAAUACGGAGGGGGCUAGCGUUGCUCGGAAUUACUGGGCGUAAAGGGCGUGUAGGCGGGACAUGAAGUUAGGCGUGAAAGCCCCGGGCUCAACCCGGGAACUGCGCUUGAUACUGAUGACCUAGAGUCCGGGAGAGGGUGGUGGAA
This 626-nucleotide ribosomal RNA is filed under the name uncultured Rhodospirillaceae bacterium. RNAcentral describes it as "bacterial SSU rRNA". It matches the Rfam family "Bacterial small subunit ribosomal RNA", at positions 9 to 666 of the family's 1533-position model. Lineage: Bacteria; Pseudomonadati; Pseudomonadota; Alphaproteobacteria; Rhodospirillales; Rhodospirillaceae. The record is from RNAcentral.